This 355-nucleotide RNase P RNA is filed under the name Actinomycetota bacterium. Its description in RNAcentral is "RNase P RNA component class A". It matches the Rfam family "Bacterial RNase P class A". Rfam says of the family: Ribonuclease P (RNase P) is a ubiquitous endoribonuclease, found in archaea, bacteria and eukarya as well as chloroplasts and mitochondria. Its best characterised activity is the generation of mature 5'-ends of tRNAs by cleaving the 5'-leader elements of precursor-tRNAs. Cellular RNase Ps are ribonucleoproteins. The record is from RNAcentral. Lineage: Bacteria; Bacillati; Actinomycetota.
GCAGGCCGGGUGACCGCGUCGGUUGCGCAAGCAGCCGCCGAGGAAAGUCCGGACACCACAGGGCAGGACGCUGGGGAAAUCCCAGGGGGCGAAAGCCGACGGAAAGUGGAACAGAAAGCAAACCGCCUGCGACGUGUUCUCCGGAGACGUCGCAGGUAAGGGUGAAACGGUGGGGUAAGAGCCCACCAGCGCCGUGGUGACACGGCGGCUCGUCAAACCCCGUCCGGUGCAAGGUGAAGCAGAUCCCGUUGAGGCGGCCCGCCGAGGGAUCGGGUACACCGCUCGAGCCGUGAGGCAACUCCCGGCCUAGAGGGAUGGUCACCCUCGACAGAAUCCGGCUUACAGGCCUGCUACC